RNAcentral lists this ribosomal RNA (360 nucleotides) under uncultured bacterium. Its description in RNAcentral is "bacterial SSU rRNA". It matches the Rfam family "Bacterial small subunit ribosomal RNA", at positions 152 to 507 of the family's 1533-position model. The record is from RNAcentral.
CGAAAGUUACGCUAAUACCGCAUAUUCUGUGAGCAGGAAAGCAGGGGAUCGCAAGACCUUGCGCUGAUUGAGCGGCCGAUAUCAGAUUAGCUAGUUGGUGAGGUAAAGGCUCACCAAGGCGACGAUCUGUAGCGGGUCUGAGAGGAUGAUCCGCCACACUGGAACUGAGACACGGUCCAGACUCCUACGGGAGGCAGCAGUGGGGAAUUUUGGACAAUGGGCGCAAGCCUGAUCCAGCCAUGCCGCGUGAGUGAAGAAGGCCUUCGGGUUGUAAAGCUCUUUCAGCCGGGAAGAAAACGCAUGGGUUAAUACCCUGUGUGGAUGACGGUACCGGAAUAAGAAGCACCGGCUAACUACGUG